This 440-nucleotide ribosomal RNA is filed under the name uncultured bacterium. RNAcentral's name for it is "partial 16S ribosomal RNA". It matches the Rfam family "Bacterial small subunit ribosomal RNA", at positions 338 to 795 of the family's 1533-position model. The record is from RNAcentral.
CCUACGGGAGGCUGCAGUGGGGAAUAUUGCACAAUGGGGGAAACCCUGAUGCAGCGACGCCGCGUGAGGGAAGAAGUAUCUCGGUACGUAAAGCUCUAUCGUCAGAGAAGAAAAUGACGGUAUCUAACGAAGAAGCCCCGGCUAACUACGUGCCAGCAGCCGCGGUAAUACGGAGGGGGCAAGCGUUAUCCGGAUUUACUGGGUGUAAAGGGCGCGUAGGCGGGAGCACAAGUCCGGAGUGAAAUCCCGGGGCUUAACCCCAGAACUGCGUUGGAAACUGUGAGGCUGGAGUGCAGGAGGGGUAAGCGGAAUUCUUAGUGUAGGGGUGAAAUGCGUAGAUAUUAGGAGGAACACUGGUGGCGAAGGCGGCCUACUGGACUGUAACUGACGUUGAGGCGCGAAAGCGUGGGGAGCAAACAGGAUUAGAUACCCUAGUAGUC